UAGUCGCCCUAAAUGCUAUCA
This is a non-coding RNA of Caenorhabditis elegans, 21 nucleotides long. The record is from Ensembl. Lineage: Eukaryota; Metazoa; Nematoda; Chromadorea; Rhabditida; Rhabditidae.